This is a long non-coding RNA of Anguilla rostrata (American eel), 596 nucleotides long. RefSeq lists it as uncharacterized. The record is from RefSeq and is a predicted model, not a curated record. The transcript has 2 exons. NCBI's taxonomy places the organism in Eukaryota, Metazoa, Chordata, Actinopteri, Anguilliformes, Anguillidae.
UCGGCCCCUGUGAACACCUGACAGGCGUCUCAGCAGGAAAUGCAAAUGAGAGCCUGUCGAUGCUCUGUCCCUGUACACAGGAAGGAGUGGUCUAAAACGUACAGCACCGGAUCAGUUACUGAGAACGCAAGCUGUCGCUGUGCAUACAGGAAGUGCUUUGGUUACUGAAGCUCCUGUGUCAGUAAAAGGAAAAUGUAAACUGCUGGUGGUUGUCAAAAACUAAUUACUCAAUUCAUGCACUGGUUUUUAAAGUUAAGAAAGCUCCUCUUCUUUUUGUACUGUACUUCUUCUUUUUCUUAUUAUUAAUAUUACUAUUACUAUUAUUGUUACUAUUAACAAUAAUAUUCAUAGCAGUCGUAGCACUUCUGGUAGUAGUAUUUCAUAUAGUCAAUUAUAUUCACCACUGUAGGACCGUAAGUUGCUGCUCCAAGGAGGAGUAUAUCUGAGGAGUGCAUUGAUUAUAUAAUCACCAGGGAAUCAGGAUAGGCUUCAAUGGAGAUUACAUAUCACUUGAAAAGUAUUUUAAUUUGUUUGGAUGGCAGUUAAUUCUGCUCAUUCUGCACUCAAUUUUAUUGACUUUUGUUUAAGAAUAUUUU